GAUGAACGCUGGCGGCGUGCCUAAUACAUGCAAGUCGAGCGAACGGACGAGAAGCUUGCUUCUCUGAUGUUAGCGGCGGACGGGUGAGUAACACGUGGAUAACCUACCUAUAAGACUGGGAUAACUUCGGGAAACCGGAGCUAAUACCGGAUAAUAUUUUGAACCGCAUGGUUCAAAAGUGAAAGACGGUCUUGCUGUCACUUAUAGAUGGAUCCGCGCUGCAUUAGCUAGUUGGUAAGGUAACGGCUUACCAAGGCAACGAUGCAUAGCCGACCUGAGAGGCUGAUCGGCCACCCUGGAGCUGGGACACGGUCCAGGCUCCUACGGGAGGCAGCAGUAGGGAAUGUUCGGCAAUGGGCGAAAACCUGACGGAGCAACGCCACGUGAGUGAUGGAGGUGUUCGGAUCGUAAGACUCUGUUAUUAGGGGAGAACAUAUGUGUAAGUAACUGUACACAUCUUGACGGUACCUAAUCAGAAAGCCACGGCUAACUACGUG
RNAcentral lists this ribosomal RNA (497 nucleotides) under uncultured bacterium. Its description in RNAcentral is "partial 16S ribosomal RNA". It matches the Rfam family "Bacterial small subunit ribosomal RNA", at positions 28 to 507 of the family's 1533-position model. The record is from RNAcentral.